RNAcentral lists this long non-coding RNA (418 nucleotides) under Medicago truncatula (barrel medic). Its description in RNAcentral is "long non-coding RNA (MTRU_LNC002848)". Lineage: Eukaryota; Viridiplantae; Streptophyta; Magnoliopsida; Fabales; Fabaceae. The record is from RNAcentral.
GAUCUAAAAGGGAAGAAAUUUUUUAUACCUUUUGAUUUUGAUUUGAUUUGGUUUCUUUCUGGCUGGUUCUGUGAUGUUGUGCGUGUGUGUCGUUGUGCGAUGCCGUGUUGUUGGUGUUGCGGUUCUGUGCGAUGUCGUGUGCUUCUGGCUUCUGUUGUGUGUGUGCGUUGUGUUGCGAUGCCGUCCUCUGUUUUUUCGUCCUUUCUUUGUGUUGUGCAGGUCUCUAUUUAUAGAGUGAGGUUGAGGCUAGGGUUUGUUUAAAAUCCGCAGAAAUUAGGUGAUUGGGAUGGAAUCGGAUGGAGACGCGUUUGUGUUCCUGGCUUUUUGGCGGAUGAGGCUUGAACUGGAUUUGGAUUGAGAUUGAGCAUACAGACUGUUUUUUUUGGAUUGGAAAAAAAACGUGUUUGUGCAUCUGGAC